This 410-nucleotide ribosomal RNA is filed under the name Verrucomicrobiota bacterium. RNAcentral's name for it is "Verrucomicrobia bacterium partial 16S ribosomal RNA". It matches the Rfam family "Bacterial small subunit ribosomal RNA", at positions 355 to 776 of the family's 1533-position model. The record is from RNAcentral. Lineage: Bacteria; Pseudomonadati; Verrucomicrobiota.
UGGGGAAUCUUGCACAAUGGGCGAAAGCCUGAUGCAGCGACGCCGCGUGCGGGAUGAAGGCCUUCGGGUUGUAAACCGCUUUCAGCAGGGACGAGGCCGCAAGGUGACGGUACCUGCAGAAGAAGCCCCGGCUAACUACGUGCCAGCAGCCGCGGUAAUACGUAGGGGGCAAGCGUUAUCCGGAUUUAUUGGGCGUAAAGCGCGCGUAGGCGGUUUGUUAGGUCAGGAGUUAAAUCUGGGGGCUCAACCCCUAUCCGCUCCUGAUAUCGGCAGGCUUGCGUCUGGUAGGGGAAAGCGGAAUUCCAAGUGUAGCGGUGAAAUGCGCAGAUAUUUGGAAGAACUCCGGUGGCGAAGGCAGCCUUCUGGGCCAAGACUGACGCUGAGGCGCGAAAGCUAGGGGAGCGAACAGG